RNAcentral lists this ribosomal RNA (421 nucleotides) under Pseudoalteromonas sp. Its description in RNAcentral is "bacterial SSU rRNA". It matches the Rfam family "Bacterial small subunit ribosomal RNA", at positions 45 to 469 of the family's 1533-position model. The record is from RNAcentral. Lineage: Bacteria; Pseudomonadati; Pseudomonadota; Gammaproteobacteria; Alteromonadales; Pseudoalteromonadaceae.
AGNAGCGUANAUGCAGUCGAGCGGUAACAGAAAGUAGCUUGCUACUUUGCUGACGAGCGGCGGACGGGUGAGUAAUGCUUGGGAACAUGCCUUGAGGUGGGGGACAACAGUUGGAAACGACUGCUAAUACCGCAUAAUGUCUACGGACCAAAGGGGGCUUCGGCUCUCGCCUUUAGAUUGGCCCAAGUGGGAUUAGCUAGUUGGUGAGGUAAUGGCUCACCAAGGCGACGAUCCCUAGCUGGUUUGAGAGGAUGAUCAGCCACACUGGGACUGAGACACGGCCCAGACUCCUACGGGAGGCAGCANUGGGGAAUAUUGCACAAUGGGCGCAAGCCUGAUGCAGCCAUGCCGCGUGUGUGAAGAAGGCCUUCNGGUUGUAAAGCACUUUCAGUCANGAGGAAAGGUUAACGGUUAAUACCCG